Molecule: unclassified non-coding RNA, 242 nt
Filed under: Glomus sp.
Lineage: Eukaryota; Fungi; Glomeromycota; Glomeromycetes; Glomerales; Glomeraceae
Description: partial contains 5.8S ribosomal RNA and internal transcribed spacer 2
Rfam family: 5.8S ribosomal RNA (bases 1-65)
Source: RNAcentral
GUGAAUCAUCAAAUUUUUGAACGCAAAUUGCACUCUCUUCGGAGAGUAUGCCUGUUUGAGGGUCAGCCUAAAAAAAAUCGACAUCGUUGCUGUUUCGCGGUGGCGUUCGUCGGAAAUUGGGUUAUCUUAAAUCUUUGGUUUAAGCGACUUAAAAUUUUCUUUACAUUUCCAUGAACGUUCCCAGGAUUUAUUUCUUUACACUUUUAAGGUAUCGAUUUUUUUAGGCUUGUUGUUAAUUUCGA